UGGGGAAUUUUCCGCAAUGGGCGAAAGCCUGACGGAGCAACGCCGCGUGAGGGAUGAAGGCCUCAGGGCUGUAAACCUCUUUUAUCAAGGAAGAAGAUCUGACGGUACUUGAUGAAUAAGCCACGGCUAAUUCCGUGCCAGCAGCCGCGGUAAUACGGGAGUGGCAAGCGUUAUCCGGAAUUAUUGGGCGUAAAGCGUCCGCAGGCGGCCUCGUAUGUCUGUCGUUAAAGCGUGGAGCUUAACUUCAUUUCGGCGAUGGAAACUGUGAGGCUUGAGUGUGGUAGGGGCAGAGGGAAUUCCCGGUGUAGCGGUGAAAUGCGUAGAUAUCGGGAAGAACACCAGUGGCGAAGGCGCUCUGCUGGGCCAUAACUGACGCUCAUGGACGAAAGCCAGGGGAGCGAAAGGGAUUAGAUACCCCUGUAGUC
RNAcentral lists this ribosomal RNA (425 nucleotides) under uncultured cyanobacterium. RNAcentral's name for it is "bacterial SSU rRNA". It matches the Rfam family "Bacterial small subunit ribosomal RNA", at positions 355 to 795 of the family's 1533-position model. The record is from RNAcentral. Lineage: Bacteria; Bacillati; Cyanobacteriota.